GCUUACGGCCAUACCACCCUGAGCACGCCCGAUCUCAUCUGAUCUCGGAAGUUAAGCAGAGUCGGGCCUGGUUAGUACUUGGAUGGGAGACCGCCUGGGAAUACCAGAUGCUGUAAGCU
Molecule: ribosomal RNA, 119 nt
Filed under: Betta splendens (Siamese fighting fish)
Lineage: Eukaryota; Metazoa; Chordata; Actinopteri; Anabantiformes; Osphronemidae
Source: RNAcentral